AGCUUUUUGAAUCCGUGAAGAGAUUUCGUCAAAAACCAACCCAUUAAAGCUGAUUAGGCUUUCAAGAUAAUCGAAGCU
Molecule: non-coding RNA, 78 nt
Organism: Schistosoma curassoni
Lineage: Eukaryota; Metazoa; Platyhelminthes; Trematoda; Strigeidida; Schistosomatidae
Source: Rfam